This 716-nucleotide ribosomal RNA is filed under the name uncultured bacterium. RNAcentral's name for it is "bacterial SSU rRNA". It matches the Rfam family "Bacterial small subunit ribosomal RNA", at positions 140 to 851 of the family's 1533-position model. The record is from RNAcentral.
GGGAUAAUCCGGAGAAAUCCGGUCUAAUACCGCAUAAUAUCGUGAAUCUGCAUGGAUUUGCGAUUAAAGGAGCGAUCCGGUGACGGAUGGGCAUGCGUGACAUUAGCUAGUCGGCGGGGUAACGGCCCACCGAGGCGACGAUGUCUAGGGGUUCUGAGAGGAAGGUCCCCCACACUGGUACUGAGACACGGACCAGACUCCUACGGGAGGCAGCAGUGAGGAAUAUUGGUCAAUGGGCUUACGCCUGAACCAGCCAAGUCGCGUGAGGGAAGACUGCCCUAUGGGUUGUAAACCUCUUUUGUCAGGGAGCAACGCCGGCUACGUGUAGCCGGACUGAGAGUACCUGAAGAAAAAGCAUCGGCUAACUCCGUGCCAGCAGCCGCGGUAAUACGGAGGAUGCGAGCGUUAUCCGGAUUUAUUGGGUUUAAAGGGUGCGUAGGCGGAAUGCCAAGUCAGCGGUAAAAUCGCGGGGCUCAACCUCGCUCCGCCGUUGAAACUGGCGUUCUUGAGUGGGCGAGAAGUAUGCGGAAUGCGUGGUGUAGCGGUGAAAUGCAUAGAUAUCACGCAGAACUCCGAUUGCGAAGGCAGCAUACCGGCGCCCAACUGACGCUGAAGCACGAAAGCGUGGGUAUCGAACAGGAUUAGAUACCCUGGUAGUCCACGCAGUAAACGAUGAAUACUAGCUGUUCGGGGCAAAUGAGCCAUGAGUGGCACAG